UCUCCGUUGGUGAACCAGCGGAGGGAUCAUUAGAGAGUAUUACAACUCCCAAACCCAUGUGAACAUACCUAUCGUUGCCUCGGUGGAGGGGACGAGAUACCCAGUAAGUGGAUACCCGGGUUUAGCUACCCGGGACACCCAGGGACCCAUCUCUCCGCCGCUGGCCCACGAAACUCUGUUUUAUUUUGAAACUCUGAAUAGCAAAACAAAUAAGUUAAAACUUUCAACAACGGAUCUCUUGGUUCUGGCAUCGAUGAAGAACGCAGC
RNAcentral lists this unclassified non-coding RNA (267 nucleotides) under uncultured fungus. RNAcentral's name for it is "sequence contains ITS1, 5.8S rRNA gene". The stretch from base 219 to 267 matches the Rfam family "5.8S ribosomal RNA", at positions 1 to 49 of the family's 154-position model. Lineage: Eukaryota; Fungi. The record is from RNAcentral.